This 511-nucleotide ribosomal RNA is filed under the name Chaetomorpha linum. RNAcentral's name for it is "SSU rRNA". It matches the Rfam family "Eukaryotic small subunit ribosomal RNA", at positions 111 to 626 of the family's 1831-position model. Lineage: Eukaryota; Viridiplantae; Chlorophyta; Ulvophyceae; Cladophorales; Cladophoraceae. The record is from RNAcentral.
UAUAGUUUAUUUGAUAGUGCAACCUACUCGGAUAACCGUAGUAACACUAGAGCUAAUACGUGCGUAAAUCCCGACUUUUUGAAGGGACGUAUUUAUUAGAUUUAUGGCCAGCCGGGCUUGCCCGACCAGCGGUGAAUCAUGGUAACUUGACGGAUUGCAUGGCCUUCGUGCCGGCGACGUGUCAUUCAAGUUUCUGCCCCAUCAGGUUUCGACUGUAGUGUAUUGGACUACAGUGCCUAUAACGGGUAGCGGAGGAUUAGGGUUCGAUUCCGGAGAGGGAGCCUGAGAAACGGCUACCACAUCCAAGGAAGGCAGCAGGCGCGCAAAUUACCCAAUCCCAAUUCAGGGAGGUAGUGACAAGAAAUAGCAAUGCGGGGCGGAUUCGCUCUGCAAUUGGAAUGAGAACAAUGUAAACCACUUAACGAGUAUCAAUUGGAGGGCAAGUCUGGUGCCAGCAGCCGCGGUAAUUCCAGCUCCAAUAGCGUAUAUGUAAGUUGUUGCGAUUAAAAAG